RNAcentral lists this ribosomal RNA (468 nucleotides) under uncultured bacterium. Its description in RNAcentral is "partial 16S ribosomal RNA". It matches the Rfam family "Bacterial small subunit ribosomal RNA", at positions 28 to 507 of the family's 1533-position model. The record is from RNAcentral.
GACGAACGCUGGCGGCGUGCUUAACACAUGCAAGUCGAACGGAAAGGCCCUGCUUUUGUGGGGUGCUCGAGUUGCGAACUGGUGAGUAACACUUGAGUAACCUGCCCUUGACUUUGGGAUAACUUCAUGAAACUGGGGCUCAUACCGGAUAGGAGCUCCUGCUGCAUGGUGGGGGUUGGAAAGUUUCGGCGGUUGGGGAUGGACUCGCGGCUUAUCAGCUUGUUGGUGGGGUAGUGGCUUACCAAGGCUUUGACGGGUAGCCGGCCUGAGAGGGUGACCGGCCACAUUGGGACGGAGAUACGGCCCAGACUCCUACGGGAGGCAGCAGUGGGGAAUAUUGCACAAUGGGCGGAAGCCUGAUGCAGCAACGCCGCGUGCGGGAUGACGGCCUUCGGGUUGUAAACCGAUUUCGCCUGUGACGAAGCGUGAGUGACGGUAAUGGGUAAAGAAGCACCGGCUAACUACGUG